AGCGUACACGGUGGAUGCCCUGGCAGUCAGAGGCGAUGAAGGACGUGCUAAUCUGCGAUAAGCGUCGGUAAGGUGAUAUGAACCGUUAUAACCGGCGAUUUCCGAAUGGGGAAACCCAGUGUGUUUCGACACACUAUCAUUAACUGAAUCCAUAGGUUAAUGAGGCGAACCGGGGGAACUGAAACAUCUAAGUACCCCGAGGAAAAGAAAUCAACCGAGAUUCCCCCAGUAGCGGCGAGCGAACGGGGAGCAGCCCAGAGCCUGAAUCAGUGUGUGUGUUAGUGGAAGUGUCUGGAAAGGCGCGCGAUACAGGGUGACAGCCCCGUACACAAAAAUGCACAUGCUGUGAGCUCGAUGAGUAGGGCGGGACACGUGGUAUCCUGUCUGAAUAUGGGGGGACCAUCCUCCAAGGCUAAAUACUCCUGACUGACCGAUAGUGAACCAGUACCGUGAGGGAAAGGCGAAAAGAACCCCGGCGAGGGGAGUGAAAAAGAACCUGAAACCGUGUACGUACAAGCAGUGGGAGCACGCUUAGGCGUGUGACUGCGUACCUUUUGUAUAAUGGGUCAGCGACUUAUAUUCUGUAGCAAGGUUAACCGAAUAGGGGAGCCGAAGGGAAACCGAGUCUUAACUGGGCGUUAAGUUGCAGGGUAUAGACCCGAAACCCGGUGAUCUAGCCAUGGGCAGGUUGAAGGUUGGGUAACACUAACUGGAGGACCGAACCGACUAAUGUUGAAAAAUUAGCGGAUGACUUGUGGCUGGGGGUGAAAGGCCAAUCAAACCGGGAGAUAGCUGGUUCUCCCCGAAAGCUAUUUAGGUAGCGCCUCGUGAAUUCAUCUCCGGGGGUAGAGCACUGUUUCGGCAAGGGGGUCAUCCCGACUUACCAACCCGAUGCAAACUGCGAAUACCGGAGAAUGUUAUCACGGGAGACACACGGCGGGUGCUAACGUCCGUCGUGAAGAGGGAAACAACCCAGACCGCCAGCUAAGGUCCCAAAGUCAUGGUUAAGUGGGAAACGAUGUGGGAAGGCCCAGACAGCCAGGAUGUUGGCUUAGAAGCAGCCAUCAUUUAAAGAAAGCGUAAUAGCUCACUGGUCGAGUCGGCCUGCGCGGAAGAUGUAACGGGGCUAAACCAUGCACCGAAGCUGCGGCAGCGACGCUUAUGCGUUGUUGGGUAGGGGAGCGUUCUGUAAGCCUGUGAAGGUGUGCUGUGAGGCAUGCUGGAGGUAUCAGAAGUGCGAAUGCUGACAUAAGUAACGAUAAAGCGGGUGAAAAGCCCGCUCGCCGGAAGACCAAGGGUUCCUGUCCAACGUUAAUCGGGGCAGGGUGAGUCGACCCCUAAGGCGAGGCCGAAAGGCGUAGUCGAUGGGAAACAGGUUAAUAUUCCUGUACUUGGUGUUACUGCGAAGGGGGGACGGAGAAGGCUAUGUUGGCCGGGCGACGGUUGUCCCGGUUUAAGCGUGUAGGCUGGUUUUCCAGGCAAAUCCGGAAAAUCAAGGCUGAGGCGUGAUGACGAGGCACUACGGUGCUGAAGCAACAAAUGCCCUGCUUCCAGGAAAAGCCUCUAAGCAUCAGGUAACAUCAAAUCGUACCCCAAACCGACACAGGUGGUCAGGUAGAGAAUACCAAGGCGCUUGAGAGAACUCGGGUGAAGGAACUAGGCAAAAUGGUGCCGUAACUUCGGGAGAAGGCACGCUGAUAUGUAGGUGAAGCGACUUGCUCGUGGAGCUGAAAUCAGUCGAAGAUACCAGCUGGCUGCAACUGUUUAUUAAAAACACAGCACUGUGCAAACACGAAAGUGGACGUAUACGGUGUGACGCCUGCCCGGUGCCGGAAGGUUAAUUGAUGGGGUUAGCGCAAGCGAAGCUCUUGAUCGAAGCCCCGGUAAACGGCGGCCGUAACUAUAACGGUCCUAAGGUAGCGAAAUUCCUUGUCGGGUAAGUUCCGACCUGCACGAAUGGCGUAAUGAUGGCCAGGCUGUCUCCACCCGAGACUCAGUGAAAUUGAACUCGCUGUGAAGAUGCAGUGUACCCGCGGCAAGACGGAAAGACCCCGUGAACCUUUACUAUAGCUUGACACUGAACAUUGAGCCUUGAUGUGUAGGAUAGGUGGGAGGCUUUGAAGUGUGGACGCCAGUCUGCAUGGAGCCGACCUUGAAAUACCACCCUUUAAUGUUUGAUGUUCUAACGUUGACCCGUAAUCCGGGUUGCGGACAGUGUCUGGUGGGUAGUUUGACUGGGGCGGUCUCCUCCUAAAGAGUAACGGAGGAGCACGAAGGUUGGCUAAUCCUGGUCGGACAUCAGGAGGUUAGUGCAAUGGCAUAAGCCAGCUUGACUGCGAGCGUGACGGCGCGAGCAGGUGCGAAAGCAGGUCAUAGUGAUCCGGUGGUUCUGAAUGGAAGGGCCAUCGCUCAACGGAUAAAAGGUACUCCGGGGAUAACAGGCUGAUACCGCCCAAGAGUUCAUAUCGACGGCGGUGUUUGGCACCUCGAUGUCGGCUCAUCACAUCCUGGGGCUGAAGUAGGUCCCAAGGGUAUGGCUGUUCGCCAUUUAAAGUGGUACGCGAGCUGGGUUUAGAACGUCGUGAGACAGUUCGGUCCCUAUCUGCCGUGGGCGCUGGAGAACUGAGGGGGGCUGCUCCUAGUACGAGAGGACCGGAGUGGACGCAUCACUGGUGUUCGGGUUGUCAUGCCAAUGGCACUGCCCGGUAGCUAAAUGCGGAAGAGAUAAGUGCUGAAAGCAUCUAAGCACGAAACUUGCCCCGAGAUGAGUUCUCCCUGACUCCUUGA
Molecule: ribosomal RNA, 2787 nt
Filed under: Escherichia coli
Lineage: Bacteria; Pseudomonadati; Pseudomonadota; Gammaproteobacteria; Enterobacterales; Enterobacteriaceae
Description: bacterial LSU rRNA
Rfam family: Bacterial large subunit ribosomal RNA
Source: RNAcentral